Molecule: ribosomal RNA, 436 nt
Filed under: uncultured Oscillospiraceae bacterium
Lineage: Bacteria; Bacillati; Bacillota; Clostridia; Eubacteriales; Oscillospiraceae
Description: partial 16S ribosomal RNA
Rfam family: Bacterial small subunit ribosomal RNA
Source: RNAcentral
ACGGAAGGCAGCAGUGGGGAAUAUUGGGCAAUGGGCGAAAGCCUGACCCAGCGACGCCGCGUGAGGGAAGAAGAUCUUCGGAUUGUAAACCUCUUUCAGCAGGGAAGAAGAAAGUGACGGUACCUGCAGAAGAAGCCACGGCUAACUACGUGCCAGCAGCCGCGGUAAUACGUAGGUGGCGAGCGUUAUUCGGAAUUACUGGGUGUAAAGGGUGUGUAGGCGGGGGAGCAAGUCAGGUGUGAAAAUUAUGGGCUCAACUCAUAACUUGCACUUGAAACUGUUCUUCUUGAGUGUGGGAGAGGUAAGUGGAAUUCCAGUGUAGCGGUGAAAUGCGUAGAUAUUGGGAGGAACACCAGUGGCGAAGGCGGCUUACUGGACCACAACUGACGCUGAGACACGAAAGCGUGGGGAGCAAACAGGAUUAGAUACCCUGGUA